This 497-nucleotide ribosomal RNA is filed under the name uncultured bacterium. RNAcentral describes it as "partial 16S ribosomal RNA". It matches the Rfam family "Bacterial small subunit ribosomal RNA", at positions 28 to 507 of the family's 1533-position model. The record is from RNAcentral.
GAUGAACGCUGGCGGCGUGCCUAAUACAUGCAAGUCGAGCGAACAGACGAGGAGCUUGCUCCUCUGACGUUAGCGGCGGACGGGUGAGUAACACGUGGAUAACCUACCUAUAAGACUGGGAGAACUUCGGGAAACCGGAGCUAAUACCGGAUAAUAUAUUGAACCGCAGGGUUCAAUAGUGAAAGACGGUUUUGCUGUCACUUAUAGAUGGAUCCGCGCCGCAUUAGCUAGUUGGUAAGGUAACGGCUUACCAAGGCGACGAUGCGUAGCCGACCUGAGAGGGUGAUCGGCCACACUGGAACUGAGACACGGUCCAGACUCCUACGGGAGGCAGCAGUAGGGAAUCUUCCGCAAUGGGCGAAAGCCUGACGGAGCAACGCCGCGUGAGUGAUGAAGGUCUUCGGAUCGUAAAACUCUGUUAUUAGGGAAGAACAAAUGUGUAAGUAACUAUGCACGUCUUGACGGUACCUAAUCAGAAAGCCACGGCUAACUACGUG